GCGAGCUAGAUCAGAGGCUUACCUGUGCUUCCCAAGCUGAAUGUCGUCGGUUCGAUCCCGAUCGCCCGCUCCA
This 73-nucleotide transfer RNA is filed under the name Methylobacterium phyllosphaerae. Its description in RNAcentral is "tRNA-OTHER". Lineage: Bacteria; Pseudomonadati; Pseudomonadota; Alphaproteobacteria; Hyphomicrobiales; Methylobacteriaceae. The record is from RNAcentral.